This 478-nucleotide ribosomal RNA is filed under the name uncultured bacterium. Its description in RNAcentral is "partial 16S ribosomal RNA". It matches the Rfam family "Bacterial small subunit ribosomal RNA", at positions 28 to 523 of the family's 1533-position model. The record is from RNAcentral.
GACGAACGCUGGCGGCGUGCUUAACACAUGCAAGUCGAGCGAUGAAGUUCCUUCGGGAAUGGAUUAGCGGCGGACGGGUGAGUAACACGUGGGUAACCUGCCUCAUAGAGGGGAAUAGCCUUUCGAAAGGAAGAUUAAUACCGCAUAAGAUUGUAGUAUCGCAUGAUACAGCAAUUAAAGGAGUAAUCCGCUAUGAGAUGGACCCGCGUCGCAUUAGCUAGUUGGUGAGGUAACGGCGCACCAAGGCGACGAUGCGUAGCCGACCUGAGAGGGUGAUCGGCCACAUUGGGACUGAGACACGGCCCAGAAUCCUACGGGAGGCAGCAGUGGGGAAUAUUGCACAAUGGGGGAAACCCUGAUGCAGCAACGCCGCGUGAGUGAUGACGGUCUUCGGAUUGUAAAACUCUGUCUUCAGGGACGAUAAUGACGGUACCUGAGGAGGAAGCCACGGCUAACUACGUGCCAGCAGCCGCAGUAA